AUUGAACGCUGGCGGCAGGCCUAACACAUGCAAGUCGAACGGUAACAGGAAGCAGCUUGCUGCUUUGCUGACGAGUGGCGGACGGGUGAGUAAUGUCUGGGAAACUGCCCGAUGGAGGGGGAUAACUACUGGAAACGGUAGCUAAUACCGCAUAACGUCGCAAGACAAAGAGGGGGACCUUAGGGCCUCUUUCCAUCGGAUGUGGCCAGAUGGGAUUAGCUAGUAGGUGGGGUAACGGCUCACCUAGGCGACGAUCCCUAGCUGGUCUGAGAGGAUGACCAGCCACACUGGAACUGAGACACGGUCCAGACUCCUACGGGAGGCAGCAGUGGGGAAUAUUGCACAAUGGGCGCAAGCCUGAUGCAGCCAUGCCGCGUGUAUGAAGAAGGCCUUCGGGUUGUAAAGUACUUUCAGCGGGGAGGAAGGGAGUAAAGUUAAUACCUUUGCUCAUUGACGUUACCCGCAGAAGAAGCACCGGCUAACUCCGUG
This 489-nucleotide ribosomal RNA is filed under the name uncultured bacterium. RNAcentral describes it as "partial 16S ribosomal RNA". It matches the Rfam family "Bacterial small subunit ribosomal RNA", at positions 30 to 507 of the family's 1533-position model. The record is from RNAcentral.